GUUUCACUGUGUUAGCCAGAUGAUCUCGAUCUCCUGACCUUGUGAUCCGCCCACCUCGGCCUCCCGAAGUGCUGGGAUUACAGGCGUGAGUCACCGCGCCUGGCCAACUUUUUUCUUUUCCUUGUUUCUUUCCUUAUCUAUUUCCCUUUAUGGGUUGGAUAAUUAGCUACAUUGCAGAUACACAAUGUGUAUACAUAAAAUCACCAAGAAUGGAAAUGCAAUGGGCUAUACUUAUCUAGCUGAAGAUUGGACUUUUCCAAUGUCAUAUCCUCCUCACCAGUCACAAAACUGCUGUACUUUAAUAACUAUUUGGUUUAUGAAGGGAUGUGUUUUGAGAGCAUUUUCCCAAUUUUCAGUGAAUUAAUAGGCCCAGGUGGUCUGGUGCUCUGUUGGAUGGAUGUUUCUAUUUUGGUGGAAAGUUAUUUUUUCAUAAAUUCACUCUCAUGCACAUAUAAAUGUGAAUAAUAAGCCUUGUUAUUCCUAUGACAAUAGAGCAGCGGACCCCUGCUGGGGGUGGGGAGGGUAAACAAAGCAUAAGUUAGGCGCCAUCUUGGAUUUGUGUUUUUUUCCUCCUAGGUAAAAAGAUUGACUUCAAAUUUUUCCCAUUCUAAUGAAUAUAGCCUUAACUCUCAGAGGAUAGGAGGGAGCAAAUAUCUUUCUGCCAUUAAUGUGAAGAAAGGGGCCGGGCGCGGCGGCUCACGCCUGUAAUCCCAGCACUUUGGGAGGCCGAGGUCAGGAGCUGAAGAGCAACCCCGCCAACGUGGCGAAACCCUGUCUCUGCAAAAAUACAAAAAUUAACCGGGCAUGAUGGCGGGUGCCUGUAAUCCCAGCUACUCAGGAGGCUGAGGCAAGAGACUUGCUGGAACCCGGGAACGGAGGUUGCAGUGAGCCGAGAUCAUGCCAUUGCAUUCCAGCCUGGGUGAAAGAGGAGACUACGUCUCAAAGAAAAAAAAAUGAAGAAAAGGUGUACACACCGAGGGCUUUUAUGAGUUUGCUACUACACGAUGGGGUGUGUAAAGGCAAAUGCAAAUUAAAAAUAAAAGGUUUAAUUCUUCCUGUUGAAAAUAAGGUAAGAGACCUCUCUCCCCUCCCUUUGCUUAGAGCUUUUAUUUUAGAAAACCUGUAAUUGUAACUUAUUUCUGUAUCUUUGAAAUGUAUGUAAAUCUUUUCAAAAGCCAAAAGAGCCUUUUGCCCAUUUAAUGACCCAGGAAUGUCUUUUUCUUCAAAACCUGGGAACCAUCUCUUUGAAAUGUAAUCAUCAAGGAAGAUAAAGCCCCUAUCUCCUAGGUUGUGUGGAAGGGAAGGAACCUAAGGUAGUCAGGUCCUUGGUCUCAAACUACCUCCUGUUAUAAAGAUAUGAGAAGUUUAUUUUUCCUUUGGAUAAAGCCAAUUCAGUUAUUAAGUAAAUUUACAAAUCUUAAUUCUACGUAUGACAGAUGGUGCUGAUAGGUCCUCUUACUGGGGAACUAGUUAUUGUUUAUUCAGAGAAUAUGCAUGUGAGUUGUAUCUAUUUGGCUGUAUAACAGUGCGAUAAACCUUUCUGCUCUUGCAAUCUCUUUAGUGGAUUAUGC
Molecule: long non-coding RNA, 1571 nt
Filed under: Homo sapiens (human)
Lineage: Eukaryota; Metazoa; Chordata; Mammalia; Primates; Hominidae
Description: HSALNT0092202
Source: RNAcentral